RNAcentral lists this long non-coding RNA (580 nucleotides) under Marmota monax (woodchuck). The record is from RNAcentral. Lineage: Eukaryota; Metazoa; Chordata; Mammalia; Rodentia; Sciuridae.
GCUGGGAGAGCACAGUUGACUGUUUUAUGCAAUAUCCUGCCAGAAGAUGCUGACCAGCUCUCUAGUAAUGGAAAGUAGUGAGACUGACUUAACAGCCUAUAUAGUUUAUCUUGCCAUUCCAUAUAUUUUAAUGUGAUUUGUAAGCAUUUGACACACAAUUCUAGAAACAUCUUCUCUUGGGAUUUUGGAUUACUGUAAGGUGGUAACAUCUUUAAACAGCUAUUCUGCUUUGCUUCUAGUGUUAGUGGAUUUUUGUGUGGUUCUUACAGAAUGGACUCUGAAAAAUUAAUUUUGGUGCUAUUGUCCUGGGGGGUCUCACAGCACUCUGUCUGAUCAAAGAAAUGCUCAUGUGCUAGUCACAUUACUGUGCUUCUUUUCUGUGACAUCAUUAUUGCUUAGCUACACAGGCAAUUAUAGGUGGUUUGGGGUGCAAAUUAAGUUAGGUAGCUGGUAAAAGUUGGACCCCAGUACACAUCUCAUUAUCAUAAUGCAAAUAUCCUGUGUGUGCUGAUUUUGAAUGAUGGUGAGCUAAGUGGUCAGAUGAUGGGUGCUCUUUUUUAAAAUAUUUUUUUAGUUGUCA